Abortiporus biennis is the source of this 103-nucleotide non-coding RNA. Lineage: Eukaryota; Fungi; Basidiomycota; Agaricomycetes; Polyporales; Podoscyphaceae. The record is from the annotation of a GenBank genome assembly.
GCUUCCAUGGCUCAGUUGGUUAGAGCGCAGGUCUCAUAGUCCACCUAUGAUCGCUGUUCAGCGAGCAAUCCUGAGGUCGUGAGUUCGACCCUCACUGGGAGCA